RNAcentral lists this ribosomal RNA (429 nucleotides) under uncultured bacterium. RNAcentral describes it as "bacterial SSU rRNA". It matches the Rfam family "Bacterial small subunit ribosomal RNA", at positions 355 to 783 of the family's 1533-position model. The record is from RNAcentral.
UCGAGAAUCUUCGGCAAUGGGCGCAAGCCUGACCGAGCGACGCCGCGUGGAGGAUGAAGGCCUCGGGUUGUAAACUCCUGUCGAGGGGGGAGGAAGGGGUAACCUUGACCUAUCCCUGGAGGAAGCACGGGCUAAGUUCGUGCCAGCAGCCGCGGUAAGACGAACCGUGCGAACGUUAUUCGGAAUCACUGGGCUUAAAGCGCGUGUAGGCGGAUGGGGGACGUCGGUUGCUGAAAUCCCCCGGCUCAACCGGGGAACGAACGGGACGGCCGAUCGACGACCGUCCGUGGAGGGACGUAGGGGGACCUGGAACUUCCGGUGGAGCGGUGAAAUGCGUUGAGAUCGGAAGGAACGCCCGUGGCGAAAGCGAGGUCCUGGACGUUUUCUGACGCUGAGACGCGAAAGCCAGGGGAGCGAACGGGAUUAGAU